GCUGCAAUACCCUUCUAUUGCAUUCUGCUUAGUCCCCUCCAUGCCAUUCUUCACAUUAAUUCACAAUAAUUCAUUUACAGAAUGAAUCUUUUAGAAACUACUAAAAUCAGAAUACCCCUCAUACACACAUCAAGCCUAACUUAGAAAUUUUCUCUGGCUACAAACUGGUGAUUGCCAGAGAGGAGGUGGGUGGUGGGAUGGGUGAAAUAGAAAAAGGGUAUUAAAAGUACACUUAUCGGGGCACCUGGGUGGCAUAGUCGGUUAAGUGUCCAACUCUUGGUCUCUGCUCAGGUCACGGUCUCGCUGUUCGGGAGUUCGAGCUCUGCAUUGGGCUCUGUGCUGAUGGUGCAGAGCCUGCUUGGGAUUCUGUCUCCCUCUCUUUCUUCCCCUCCCACAUGUGUGUUCUCUCUCUCUCAAAAUAAAUAAACCUUAAGAACAAAUUUUUUUAAAACUUAAAAACAAAGUACACUUAUCAUCAAGUGCACUGAGUAUUAUAGAGAAUUAUUGAAUCACUAUAUUGGAUACCUGAAAAUGAUAUAACACUGUAUGUUAAUUAUGCUGGAAUUUCAAAAAAAAUAAAUAAAAUAAAAAUUCACAUUUUUCUGUGGCUCCCCAUCACCCCAAAGACUUACUCAAUGUGUACUCUAUCUCAAGUUUGGGCCAGAGAGCUCUGCGUGUGUGACCUGUACCCCCAGGAAGCUCCAUUCACUCUUCUUGUUGUACCCUGUUCCUCCUUCCUCCUCGCUGGCUCUGCUCUCAUCACCCAGAUUCCCCUGCCUGAAACUCUCCUCCCCCCUGCUCUGUCACAUUGUUUCCUACACACCUUUCAGCUCUUAACCCAUACUGGCUCCUGAGGGAUGCUUGAGGAGGACCCUCCUAGCCCUGGUUGGGCCAGAUCCCCAUGUUCUAAACUCCCUUGGCAAAGUCAGCCAGCUCAUGAACCCUUCAUGGAACGUAUCAUAGGACAUCCACACAAUCUUGUAUGAUUGUUUCAUUUCUGCCUGUCUUCCCACUAGACUGUAAGAUCCAUGAAGGUAGCAACCUGUCUCUUUUUGCUUAUCACUGUGCUCCAGAGCCUAGCACAGUUUCUGGCACAUUUUAG
RNAcentral lists this long non-coding RNA (1102 nucleotides) under Felis catus (domestic cat). Its description in RNAcentral is "lncRNA (ENSFCAG00000047372.1)". Lineage: Eukaryota; Metazoa; Chordata; Mammalia; Carnivora; Felidae. The record is from RNAcentral.